UACGGGGGGGGCAAGCGUUGUUCGGAAUUACUGGGCGUAAAGGGCGCGUAGGCGGCCCGCUAAGUCGAACGUGAAAUCCCCGGGCUCAACCCGGGAACUGCGUCCGAUACUGGCGGGCUUGAAUCCGGGAGAGGGAUGCGGAAUUCCAGGUGUAGCGGUGAAAUGCGUAGAUAUCUGGAGGAACACCGGUGGCGAAGGCGGCAUCCUGGACCGGCAUUGACGCUGAGGCGCGAAAGCCAGGGGAGCAAACGGG
This 253-nucleotide ribosomal RNA is filed under the name uncultured bacterium. Its description in RNAcentral is "partial 16S ribosomal RNA". It matches the Rfam family "Bacterial small subunit ribosomal RNA", at positions 524 to 776 of the family's 1533-position model. The record is from RNAcentral.